GAGUUUGAUCAUGGCUCAGGAUGAACGCUGGCGGCGUGCCUAAUACAUGCGAGUCGAGCGAACAGACGAGGAGCUUGCUCCUCUGACGUUAGCGGCGGACGGGUGAGUAACACGUGGAUAACCUACCUAUAAGACUGGGAUAACUUCGGGAAACCGGAGCUAAUACCGGAUAAUAUAUUGAACCGCAUGGUUCAAUAGUGAAAGACGGUUUUGCUGUCACUUAUAGAUGGAUCCGCGCCGCAUUAGCUAGUUGGUAAGGUAACGGCUUACCAAGGCAACGAUGCGUAGCCGACCUGAGAGGUGAUCGGCACACUGGAACUGAGACACGGUCCAGACUCCUACGGGAGGCAGCAGUAGGGAAUCUUCCGCAAUGGGCGAAAAGCCUGACGGAGCAACGCCGCGUGAGUGAUGAAGGUCUUCGGAUCGUAAAACUCUGUUAUUAGGGAAGAACAAAUGUGUAAGUAACUAUGCACGUCUUGACGGUACCUAAUCAGAAAGCCACGGCUAACUACGUGCCAG
This 519-nucleotide ribosomal RNA is filed under the name uncultured microorganism. RNAcentral's name for it is "bacterial SSU rRNA". It matches the Rfam family "Bacterial small subunit ribosomal RNA", at positions 9 to 511 of the family's 1533-position model. The record is from RNAcentral.